This 187-nucleotide unclassified non-coding RNA is filed under the name Pseudowardomyces humicola. Its description in RNAcentral is "Wardomyces humicola partial internal transcribed spacer 2". The record is from RNAcentral. Lineage: Eukaryota; Fungi; Ascomycota; Sordariomycetes; Microascales; Microascaceae.
CUGCCCUCGAGCACGGUAGCCUUUCGGGGCUGCCGCCGCCCGGUGUUGGGGCGCUACGGGGAGCCUCGCGCUAUCCCCCGUAGGCCCCGAAAUGAAGUGGCGGUCCCGCCGCGGCGCCCUCUGCGUAGUAGUCUUAACAGCUCGCAUUGGGACCCGGUGGAGGCCAGCCGUCAAACCAAUCUUACAA